This is a long non-coding RNA of Hydractinia symbiolongicarpus, 2460 nucleotides long. RefSeq lists it as uncharacterized. The record is from RefSeq and is a predicted model, not a curated record. The transcript is spliced from 2 exons. NCBI's taxonomy places the organism in Eukaryota, Metazoa, Cnidaria, Hydrozoa, Anthoathecata, Hydractiniidae.
CCACUUGAGUUAGAUGCACUUUUUAUGAUUGAGCAAAAUCUUUGUAGGAUAUAAAACAUAUUGCGAAAUGACGUAUUGUUUUGAUGUCGAGAGAAAAUAUUAUGCGCAUACAAUUACACAGACAAAAAUAUAAACAGCAUAUAACUGCAAUCAAAGAAUUCAAUUCAAUAGAAAUGAUUAGCUCAGAUUGUUUCGUAGAUAUAGCUGGAGCACCGAAUAAACAGGAAGAUGGUGGAAGAAACCAGGGAUUGGCAGAUGUAUUGAAAAUUUGGUGGGAUUGGACUUAUAAAGGGGAGAAAACCUAGAUAUUCCGAGAAAGGCUUUGUGGUGGUAUUAAUUAAUUUUAUCCUUACACAUACUUCCAUAGGAAAGAGACAACGGUGAUUUUUCAGUUUUCUUUAUGUUUGAAAAAAAGGCUUUCGUCCCCGACAUGAACGUGAUAUCUCCUUAGCGGUAUGGAAAUAAAUGGACGAUGGGGUUUGUAUGUAGGAUUGAUUCAAUUUUUGUCACGCAAGUCAAUCAUUCGAGAGUUCGUUUCGUUGCUUGAAGAAGAUUGACAAAAAUACCACAAACUAACUCAUACCAAUCAAUAAUUCAACCACACAUCUAAUCAUUAAAUGUUCUCAAUGAAAGUGUAGCAUCUUUAUUACUGGACAGAGUAGUCAAUAUAGUCAGUUGGGAAAAUGACCAAAAGACUAAAAUAAAGCCAGUGUUUCAAUCUAAAAACACGAUACGUAGUAUACUUUCUAGACAAUCAAUGUAACUUAAGAUGUCUAGAGAAUCAAAUUAAGCCUAUGAAAUCCCGUAAAAAUAUUGCGGUGUUUAUGUCGGUGAAACAAUGCAAUAAGUCAAACAACAGGUGCACAUGCGCGAAAGGGCCGUACGGAAUGCACUAAAGGUCUUCAAAAAUCUGUUUUUAGAAAUAAAAUAUUAUUACACAGGAUAUUCAGUAAACGAUUUUAACAUUCCAAAAACAUUACUAGUGACCAUUGGAUACUCACUAUCUUAUCGUAGACCAUUGUUAUAGAACACAAUGUUAGAAGAAGCCAAAAAAAUCUAUUUGCUUGUUGACGCAUUUUAAGAAAACCACAAAAUAUUUCUUGUUGAUCAAUGAUCUAGAUUAUUUGCGAUAUUUUUAGUAUUACAAUCUUGUAAUUUUUUAAAACUGUAUAGGAAUUGUAAAUACUUUUUCUUUACAUUAUUCUCACCUCUCUCUUUAAUUCAUCUAACUAUAAUUGGGGCUUGAUGAUAAGACAAAAUAUGUAUUCUACUUGCUCCACUCAUUACUUGAUUGUAAAACCGAAAAAUAUAUGUAAAUUUUUUUAUUCUGACGAAAUAGAUCCAUACAUACAAACGAAUGCAGACAAUAAUAAGAUAACGAACCAUAACUAAUUAAUUAAACAAUAACGACGGAUUAAUUUCAACGUUCACAUUGGAAAAAGGAAAAAGCUUAUUCGCCAAUUUUUUUCUCGACAUUACAGUUUUUCCCUCUAGCACAACUUUAUUGACGCAAACAAAGUUAACCCAGGGUAAAAAUAAAUGAGCCCUGGGACAAGAAUUGUUAAAUUAAAAAAUUAAAAAAAAAACACACGCUGUGAGAAAUUAUAAUACAAAUUACCCUUAUCUCUUGAAACAAUUAUAAUUAAUUACACCCUUCUGCACGGGGCUUUGUGCAGUGCAUUGCUACAUACCCCCCGCAUAACAAGAUUGUUGAGCUGAGAUGGAGCACACAAAAGUUUAUUACAAUCUGAGUUUUUGAUUCAAAAGCAAGAGUUGGUUGAAUAGAAAAGCUUAAGAAAAAAAAUUGACCAAGAUUCAAAUAACUUACCGAGAUCCAGUAACUUCACAAAAAUGGUUGCUACGCUAGCUGUGAUUGCUAUUGUAAUAUUGGGAGCGGCGGCGGCUGGUGUCAUCUCACUUGAUCUGUACUUGAUAUCCAAAGAUGACGGUUACUUGAAAAAGAAUGACGACCUGGACGACCAAACGCGCAUUCUUUUGGCGAGAUCAUUCUCCCCUUAUAUAUAAACAAACUGGAAAUGGCGAAACAAUAAGUUGAAAAAAAAAUUUAAAGUAAUUAUCUUACUAAACAUUUUUUAUGUAGAUUUUAGAUUCACUUUGUAUAUUAGGCGAUUUGCAGUGUCCAUUACCUUCCUCUUUAUAAAAUCGAAGCGUUGUUAUGCAUUCUGUCGCGAUUGUAGCACACGCUAAUUUUAUAUACAUUUUCGAUAAUCUGUCUAUCGAUACAUAAUUCCUAAGUUUGUUAAAAAAAAUAUUUUGAGACACAACCAUUUUUUUUUAUAACAUCCGCUGUAAAUAUAUUAUACAAUAUUUUACGUCUGUUGUAUUAAAAAAUUUUAAGGCAUGAAAUGACUCGAUUAUUUGGAGACUCACUUGCCUUCAUGCACCAUUUUGUUUUGUAACUUAAAACAAUUUUAAAAAAGUUUUUUUUUUCUUAUCCUA